GCGGGAUGUCGCGGCGAGAUCCAGCGCCUUGGCGCACAACCCAAGACUCACAGGAGGACAGUGGACAGGUCCUUUCCCCCUGCCUAACGUUGUAUCUGAGGAUUUUUAAAUCAAAGGACUACAAGCACAUACCCCGGCCCAAACUCUCAGCAUCUGAAUCCUGCUUCCUGCUUGUUGGAAUAAAGGACCUGUUUCCAACUACAGAUGCUGAAGGGGUCACAUCCUCCUUCUCCCUGUCCCUGACAGUUGAGGCUCCUCAAGAGUGGCUGCACCAGCUUAGAUCCCCGUGAUGGUGAUUACUUCUUAGAUGUGCCCAUGGGCUCCUCGGGUGAUACUGGUGACGACCCCAACACUAAGCAGUCUGACUGAAUGUCUACAACCUCACCAGGCAACAAUUUCAACAGAAAAACUGGAAUGUGACGGAGGAAGGACUCUAGGGGAAAAGGCCUCGUCUGCCAAAGAAGAAGAAUAAUAACAAAGAUGACAGUAGGAAUAAAAUAUUGCCCUCUUCAUCAAGGGUGAUAAGGAAGUAUCCAGUUAUAUGUGUUGAGCCUUCUCACUCUCCAUAUACAUAUGUUAGAACUUUAGAAUUUAGCCCAGGUUUGAUUUGAACUUUCUGUCCUGUGGUCGUCUUGAGUGUACUGAACAAAUUGGGCUACAUGUCUCACCUUUGGUUUCAGAAAAUAGGACCCCAAUUACAGCACUUCAUGUUGACCUAGUACCUUAAAUGUCUGAGUAUGAACCUCUUUCCUGGAGGGUGUGUCUGUGAAAUGUGUGCCCCCAGUGCCUGGCAUGGGGCCUAGCCUUUGGAAACUAGGGCAGAGGGACUGUGAUAUAAAUGGGUGAGGCAGGGAGUCCUCCAGCUCCCUAUCUCUUGGCUGAGGAGUGGGAUGAACCCCGGAUGACUGCAUGAACCUUUCCUUCCCCUUGGUGCUCCUGGGGGCAGGGACAGGAAGUUUUAUGCAGGGAGAAACCCCAAUAAGACUCAGCCUCUCUGUUGAUUUCUGCAAAUGCCUCAUGUUCCAAGGGAAUCAUUUGCCCACUUCUGGGCCAGCUGUAUAUGAGUUUGCUCUCUCCCCUCCUAAGGGGAGGUCCAUGUUACCUGAAGAAACUUAACCUUUUGCUAUUUCUAUUAAACUUCCCUUUUUGGUUAAGAAGGUGAUGAGGUAGAAGAAUGUCCCUGCCCUGAUCACUCUUCCAGUCUUCCUUGAUUCAGAUAUACAGAUACUUUUUCUCCUUCUCCUCUCCCUCCCGCUCCUUCUCCUUGUUCCUCUGUUCUGCAGACUAACUUCCCAAAGCUGACGGUAAUAAGGAGAGGUGAAUCCAGUCUGUUCCUAAAGAAGCCCUCCUCCACUACGUUAAACAAAUUUUCACUCUGCUGAAUAACUUUCAGUAGCUCCCUAUUGUCAUCAAUUUACGUUUCUAACAUUAAAGCCCAACUUUAAUAUGAGCUGUCUUGAACUUUGUUCUUUGUGAUUUCCCAAUGCUCUCUCCCCGGAGUCAACUGGCCUUCCCAAUGUAUUCACUUAGAGGAGAUGAGUGGUUGGAGAGGCAUUUAAGGCAAAACCAACAACUAAAAGAGAGAAAGGGCAGGCGGGUCAACCCUCAGAAGUCACCCCUACUCAUCAGAAUGCUGACAAUAAAGAUGCACAUUACAGUGCAUUAGCACCACGCCUGAGAGACAACUGUGAUGGCCACAAAGUGCUGAACCACCAUCAUAAUCACCAUCAUCAACUGAACAACUAGGGCUUUCUAAAAUCUAAGGUUUAGAUCUAUGGAGUAAUAAAACAGGAACAAUGGAAAGGCCUGUGAACACCCUCUUUGAUGGAGGUGGGAAGCUAUAGUCAUCAAUACGUCUACUGAACUGAGGUACUUGCAAUGCCCAUGAGACCUGGAGUCUGGUGUGGCAGGAGUCAGUUUUCCCUUUUCUGUUCAAAUGGUGCCUGUG
Non-coding RNA from Odocoileus virginianus texanus, 1948 nucleotides. The record is from RefSeq and is a predicted model, not a curated record. Lineage: Eukaryota; Metazoa; Chordata; Mammalia; Artiodactyla; Cervidae.